Molecule: ribosomal RNA, 253 nt
Filed under: uncultured bacterium
Lineage: Bacteria
Description: partial 16S ribosomal RNA
Rfam family: Bacterial small subunit ribosomal RNA
Source: RNAcentral
UACGUAGGGGGCGAGCGUUAAUCGGAAUUACUGGGCGUAAAGCGUGCGCAGGCGGUUCUGAAAGUCAGCUGUGAAAGCCCCGGGCUUAACCUGGGAACUGCGGUUGAAACUACAGGACUAGAAUCUGGCAGAGGGGGGUGGAAUUCCACGUGUAGCAGUGAAAUGCGUAGAGAUGUGGAGGAACACCGAUGGCGAAGGCAGCCCCCUGGGCUGAGAUUGACGCUCAGGCACGAAAGCGUGGGGAGCAAACAGG